CAGUCGCCACGGUAAUACGAAGGGGGCGAGCGUUGCUCGGAAUGACUGGGCGUAAAGGGCGCGUAGGCGGUUUCGUAAGUCUGAUGUGAAAUCUAUGGGCUCAACCCAUAGUCUGCAUCGGAAACUGCGAGGCUUGAGAGUGGGAGAGGUGAGUGGAAUUUCCGGUGUAGCGGUGAAAUGCGUAGAUAUCGGAAGGAACACCUGUGGCGAAAGCGGCUCACUGGACCAUUUCUGACGCUGAUGCACGAAAGCUAGGGGAGCAAACAGGAUUAGAUACCCCCGUAGUCCCUGUCUCUUAUAC
RNAcentral lists this ribosomal RNA (301 nucleotides) under uncultured bacterium. RNAcentral's name for it is "partial 16S ribosomal RNA". It matches the Rfam family "Bacterial small subunit ribosomal RNA", at positions 509 to 807 of the family's 1533-position model. The record is from RNAcentral.